UCAACACAAAUGAGAAGAAGAAGAGAUUCUGCGGCGUGAUUGUUUCAACUUUACCUAAUACGCAUCUAUCAGUAUACGCACAUAUGGUGACUGACGCAGUGUUUUACAAACAAGAAAUUAUUCGGAAAAACAGUCGAAACAAGAAAUCAGUUCGUCGCCAUGAUUCUUAGUUCGCUUAUGUUAAAAGCGUUUCUUCUUGGUGUUCUGGGCUCUCUGGAUAGUGGAGGGGAAACUCGUGCGUGUUCAGGUUAGCAUGCUCAGUUAGCGUCUCAAACCAUUGACUACUAGAGAAGACGAUACAGAGAGUUUAUUUUUACAGUUUUUGGAGUCUAUUUUAUUCACAAAAACGUAAAAAAUACACAAGGGCUAUGCCAGUUUAUCGCUGUUGUGUUGGAGGUUGCGACAACGAUUCGAGAUACAAAGAGAAAAUUGUAAAGAGAAGCCACGUUGAGGGCGCACUCCGUUUGCAUCAUUUCCCUAAACAAUCAGAGAAGAGAAAGCAAUGGACUAAGAACGUUUCAAAAGGCCUGUCUGACGUUGUUGCCAGCGACCACAAGACUGUUUGCUCCAACCAUUUCGAGUACGGAAAGCCAACAUUCGCUUCUCCGAAUCCAACGCUAUUCCUUGUGCCUAGCGGCAAGAACAAGUCAUCGCCAAGAAAGCGAAAGCUACCAACUAGGACGUCAAAAGGCCCAUCGACUAAAGAAACUAAAGAACUCAAGUACAAGGAGACAGGGUCCCAAUGCACCAUUGGGACCCUGUUAGGCUUAUUCAAGCCUAACAUUUGCUCAUUUGACACGUGAACACGAUGUUAAUAAUUUUACUGGUUUAACAGUUAAGAGUUUUCGAUUAAUCUUCGACCAUGUCAAAGGAAAAGCUUCAGUGAUGCACUACUGGAAAGGCCCCAAAAGAACAGGGGACACAUCCAAACUUAAAAUUGAUAGACAAGUGAGAGCCCUCACUUUAGAGCAAGAAUUUCCGCUUACCAUGAUGAAGCUCAGACUUGGUCUGUUCCUCUUUGACCUAGUAUUUAGAUUUGAUAUUUCAGCAUCAGUAACAAGCUCAAUAUUCACCACAUGGGUCAAGUUCCGGGCAAAAGAACUGAAGUGGCUGAUAGUAUUGCCAGACAGAAUAGUUACACACAGGAAUCUUCCUGAUAUGUUUAAGAAGUACUACCCUAAGUGUAGAGUUAUACUGGAUUGCACUGAAAUCUACAUCGAAACACCAUCUGAUUUGGCAGUAGCUGCCCAGUGCUGGUCUGCUUAUAAACAUCAUCACACCAUUAAAUUUCUUGUUGGCAUUACUCCCAAUGGUGCAAUAUCAUUCCUAUCUGAUUUUUAUGGUGGAAGAGCUAGUGACCUAUUUAUUGUUGAAGACUGGUUUUGUUAACUACCUACAGCCUCAUGAUCAAGUUAUGGUAGACUGCAGUUUCAAAAUCAAGGAUUUACUUGCAUUUUACCAAUGUUCACUGGCUAUACCUUCCUCAAAACAUGGUAACCUUCAAAUGUCAGGGACUGAUGUCAGGGAAACCUCACUUAUAGUCAAUGUCCGAAUCUAUGUUGAGCAAGCAAUACGAAGAAUUAAAUGCUUUGAGAUCUUAAAGAAAGAAUUACCAAUCACCCUGCUACCACUUGCAGAUGAUAUUGUAGUUCUUUGCUCAGCACUGUGUAAUUUGUCACCACCUCUCAGUGUAUAGUUACUAAGUUACUUUCAAAACUAUUCUAUUCGUUAUAGUACAAACAAUGUAAAUAUAGAACUUCAAUAAUUCGAAAUAGCAAUAGCAAUAUCAUGCACAUUGCUUUAUUUUCAGCUUUAUAGAAUGCUUACAGUGUUUCAUGGUUUAUACUACUAAAAUGAAAAAUAGGGUAAUAACAAUAAUACUGUCAACAUAAACAAACAUCACUGUGAUGAAAAGAUUGAAAACAAGAUGAAAUAAAUUGAACCCAGAUAACAUAUAUAUUUUAUUAUGAAGUAAUUUCUUAUUAACAACAGUGUGUAUUAUAUUCUAUAUAGCUUAUGUUUUAUAUUGAUAGCCAAAACUUUUACAGCAGAGUAUUAUUCCAACUUGGAUUUGACUGUGAGUUGUUGUGGACACAGAAAUAACAAUGAAAGAAGUAUUGUAUAACUCUAGAACUGUCCAUGCAUGUAUUGAGUUUUAUAAAUAGUGUAUAGAAAACAAUAGAAACAAUUUUUAUUUUUGCAGUAUAUCUGUAUGAGUCACUUCCUGGUAAUGUUCAGUUUCAAACACUUUAUAUUAUAUUGUUCUAAGCUAUUUUUAAGUCCUAAAACCAUACGAUUAUAUGCAAAGCCAAAAAAAAUACUUUAGGUGCAUUAACACAAAAUAUCAUAAAAUGACCUUACAUACUGUCACUACCUUAUAGAUUUACAAAUCUUGGGCAAUUUCAUUGCAACUGACACAAAUAAAAGUGCUGUCUUCAUUAA
RNAcentral lists this long non-coding RNA (2442 nucleotides) under Stylophora pistillata. RNAcentral describes it as "uncharacterized LOC111322727". Lineage: Eukaryota; Metazoa; Cnidaria; Anthozoa; Scleractinia; Pocilloporidae. The record is from RNAcentral.